UACGUAGGGUGCGAGCGUUAAUCGGAAUUACUGGGCGUAAAGCGUGCGCAGGCGGUUUUGUAAGCCCGAUGUGAAAGCCCCGGGCUCAACCUGGGAAUGGCAUUUGGGACUGCAAGGCUGGAGUUUGGCAGAGGAGACUGGAAUUCCCGGUGUAGCAGUGAAAUGCGUAGAUAUCGGGAGGAAUACCGAUGGCGAAGGCAGGUCUCUGGGCUAUAACUGACGCUCAUGCACGAAAGCGUGGGGAGCAAACAGG
This 253-nucleotide ribosomal RNA is filed under the name uncultured bacterium. Its description in RNAcentral is "partial 16S ribosomal RNA". It matches the Rfam family "Bacterial small subunit ribosomal RNA", at positions 524 to 776 of the family's 1533-position model. The record is from RNAcentral.